UACUCGUAACCGUAGUCGUUCAAAAAUUGAAGAAGCAGAUGAAUUACUUCAAGCUGGAAUUUUUCAUCCAAAGCCAUCUUUUGACGUACGGAACGAAUGCUCGUAUCUUCCUGCAAUGGGCGUUUAUUGUUCCUCUGCUCUCCCAAUCUCGUCGAGCCUUUACCGUUCCCUAAGUUGGCACACACUUUAGCGAUUUCAAAUUGUUGUGUUCUUUAAAGAAGAUGUUUGAUGCCUGUGACAAG
Molecule: non-coding RNA, 242 nt
Organism: Schizosaccharomyces pombe (fission yeast)
Lineage: Eukaryota; Fungi; Ascomycota; Schizosaccharomycetes; Schizosaccharomycetales; Schizosaccharomycetaceae
Source: the annotation of a GenBank genome assembly